GGGCCCGCACAAGCGGUGGAGUAUGUGGUUUAAUUCGAUGAUACGCGAGGAACCUUACCAGGGCUUAAAUGUAAAGCGAUCGGUUGAGAAAUCAGCCUUUCUUCGGACGAUUUACAAGGUGCUGCAUGGUUGUCGUCAGCUCGUGCCGUGAGGUGUCGGGUUAAGUCCCAUAACGAGCGCAACCCCUAUUUUUAGUUGCCAGCGAGUAAUGUCGGGAACUCUAAAAAGACUGCCUGUGCAAACAGAGAGGAAGGUGGGGAUGACGUCAAAUCAUCACGGCCCUUAUGUCUUGGGCUACACACGUGCUACAAUGGUUAUUACAAUGGGAAGCCAUCUGGUGACAGAGAGCAAAUCCAUAAAGGUAAUCUCAGUUCGGAUCGGAGUCUGCAACUCGACUCUGUGAAGUUGGAAUCGCUAGUAAUCG
This 424-nucleotide ribosomal RNA is filed under the name uncultured bacterium. Its description in RNAcentral is "bacterial SSU rRNA". It matches the Rfam family "Bacterial small subunit ribosomal RNA", at positions 917 to 1344 of the family's 1533-position model. The record is from RNAcentral.